UAAGUAAAAAUUGAUAAAUGGCAUAACAUAGCUGAAAAAGGAUCAACAGUAAUACAUUCUAAAACUAGUAGUAUGGAUUUAUAAGCUCUACUGAAAAUACAUUAGAAUCUCAAAAUACAUCAUUGUUUUGCAAUAAAAAUAAUAGUAAUAAUAAAGACACUAGAAGGUGACUUUCAGACUUGCAAGCGGAACAACAGGUAUACCUUGAAGUCUCCACAGCAAUCCCGAAAUUAGCAUACUAAUGACCGGCACACUUAGAGGUACCUAGAUAUGCACAAAAAUAUGCAGAAGCAUAGUAUAAGUACACCACAAAUGGUGCCCAGUAAGUAUCAAAACUAACCGCGCUAAAGUAGUGACGAGUUUUAAGUGAAGACCCUCACUGGAUAAAAUCUGUGCAGAAAACCAAUAUAAAGCUAACAACGGAGAGCAAAACGAUAAAUGGAAAUAGAGAGUAAACAUGUGAUAACAUAAAAAGUUAACCCAAACAAAGUUAAAAUACAAGUGAAUCAAAUAAGGAAAACAAUGGCAGUUCAAAUCCUCAAGUUGUUCCAACACAAGAUUUACAACAAGAAUCACCCCGAGGGACCACACCUCAUAAUCACAAAUCACGAGUCACAAAUCACAAAUCAUCCUAAUAACACCAUGUGAGCUUCACAUUUUAAAGCAUUUUCCCCAAAUAGCUUCACUCGUGUAAGCCCCCUUAUCUCUCCGCAUGUGCCUUACAGUGGAGCAUUCCCCUUACUAGCAACAUGCAUAUAAGCCCAUUUAUCUCGCUGCAACGCAUCAAUUCACACCACCCUUACGCCACCUUAUGCGCAUCUCAUCACAAUACAACAAUCAACUCAUGCCACACGUGGACAUACGCCACCACAUUGCCCGAAUGAUAAUACCAAUGUCACAACAAUACAUAAACCACGUCUUAAUAAUAAUGUAUACAAUAAUUACAAUAGAAACACAAUAAAACGGAGAAAAAGUCAACAAUCAAAUCUGUUCCAUAUAAAAACAACUUCAAUUCAAUGCAAAUUAAUAGCCAAAGAAUCUAACCCGAUCAAUCUCCACACAUAAGCCCAUAUACACACUCGUCACCUCAUGUACACAUCUUUUCAUAUAGUACAAAUAAUACAAUUAGACCAAAUCAUAAGUGAAAGUUUCCCCCACACAAAGUUAAGAAAGAUAUUUACCUCAAUUAGGCCAAUUCAACACUCAAAAACAGCUUUUCCCUUAACGUUCACCUCAACUCGGCUCAAAUCUAACCAAAAAGACUUAAUGAUAUCAAACAAUGAAAUAGAAAACCAAUUUCAAUUAAUAAAAUUAAGAUGUUUACACAAUUUUUCAAAAUUCAACCUUGGGUCCGCCAGGUCAAACCCCGAGUUAAAAGGUAGAUCGCGACUACCCAUAAACCUACAAGUUCAUAUAUGUAUUUUAUUUUCAAAUCUGAGUCCAAUUCGACUCUCAAAUCUCAAAUUUUUAUUUUUCAAAAAUAGACAAAAAUUCCCUGCAAUUCUCAUGAUAUAGAUGUUAAAUCACAUAAACAAUCAUGUUAUAUAAUAAAAAAUGGAUCAAAAGCAUUAACCUCAUAGUUGUGUAUGAAAAUCUCCUCCUAAAAUGGCCUCUUACCGAGUCCGGGACUUAAAUAUGUGAUAAAUGAGACUAAGUCCCGAAAUCCCAACCUUUUGUUCAGCGGCGGAAGAUGCAAAUGCGGAAAAUCCAUUGCAAAUACAGUGUUUGUUGAUCCCAGAAAAUGUCACAAAUGCGACGUCAAGCCCCUUCGCAAAAGCGAUCGUGUCCAGGAGCCCCAAUCGCAAAUGCGAUGCAAAGUUGGCAAAUGCGAAUACUGCAGCCCCAAGCCCACCUUGCAAAUGCGCUUCCCACCCUACAAAUACGCUUCAUAUCUUGCAAAUGUGCUUCCCACCUUGCAAAUGUGAACAAGAUCUCGCAUUUUCAAGACCUGCAACAUCUUUCCAGCACCAGCAAAAUCCACAACAAACAUCCACACAAGUCUAAAAAUAUCAUACGAACUCAUUCUCGCUCUCAAAAUACCAAAAUAAUAUCCGAAAUCACGAAUUAGAUACCAAAACACAUGAAAAUUUACAAUGAAACUCGGGAAUCAUUAGUAUCACAACCAAGCGUUCGAUUCCUAUCAAACCAACUCGAAAUGACACCAAACUUUGCAAUACAAGUUCCAACAAAACGGACCCAUUUUAAGUCUCAAAACCAAACUUUGUGUCUGAUAUACAAGAAGUAAACCUACAGUCAAACUUAGGAAAUUUUUAAACCUUCAAAUAGCCAACUUUCGGCAAAACAAGCCAAAUCAACUAGGACCCUCUGAAUCCAACUUUGGGCAUAUGCCUAAGUCCAAAAUCAUUAUACGAACCUAUUGGAACCAUCAAAUUGCCAUUCCGGGGUUGUUUUUACAAAAUUCAAACCUUCAUUAACAUUUCUAGCUUAAACUUCUAAUCUAAUAAACAAUCGACCCAAAUCAUUCCAAAAACAACCCCGAAACGAAACCGACCAUCUUUGCAAGUCAUAAAACCACCAAUGCAUAUAUGGGAAGCUUCAAACGGGAAAACGGGGCUCAACUACAAAAAACGACCAAUUGAGUCAUUACAAUCCUGACUACCCAUAAUCCCACGAGUACAAAGAUAUGAUUAGAUCCCAAAGCAAAGUCCAAAUCGACUCCCAAAUCUCCAAUUUUUAUUUUCUAAAAUCAUAGUAAAAAACCCCCCCAAAUUUCUCAUUCAUGUGCCAUAAUCUAGGUGUAAUAAUACAUGGGACAACAAGAUAUUAUAUUAAAAUCAAGUAUAAAUCACUUACCCUCUUGCAUUGUCUGAACAUCCUCUUCAAACAUUGCCCAUCUCUAAGUUUAGGGUUCAAAAUAUGAAAAAAUGGGCUAAAAUCUUAAAAUAAGUCAUUUAUAAGUUUUGCCUAGGAGUUCUCUUCGCGAACGCAGCAUGUGCCUCGCGUUCACAAAGCACAACAUGCAACAAUUCAAAAUAACCCUUCACAAAUGCAGCUUCCCCCUUGGAACGUGAUGCACGGUUACCCUAGACCUACGCAAACACGAGCCUCCACCUACGAUCACAAAAGCCAAGCCCAGCCAAUACCCAACCUUCCUUAAAGAUACACGAACAUGACCACCAAGGCAUGAACGCGAAGGCCAAUCUGCCACAACACACCGUGAACAGACAUCCCAGUCACGAAUGCGAAGAAUAAACCUGCCUAGCACCAAAUAUGCUCCGCGAUCGUGAAGAAAGACCUGACACUAGCAAAAUUUUACAAUUCCAACAAUGCUCCGGGUGGUCCAAAAAUCAUCCGAGCCACCUGGGACCCUGUCCAAUCACACCAACAAGUCUAUAAACACUACUCGGACCUAUUCAAAGCCUCCAAACACAUACAAUAACAUAACAUCAACGAGUCAAAGACAAAAAAAAUAGUUGAACUUCUCUUAAGGUCAAGAACUUUAAAACUUCAAACCAAGCAUCAGAUUUAAGCCUAGCAAAUCCGAUAACAACCAAACUUUGCACACAAGUCCCAUAUGAGAAGUAUAACAUGAAAAAGUUUCAUUAAUUAUGUCUAUGUGUUGUACAAUGACCUAUUUAUAUACAGUAAUGACAUAAUAAUAGGUAUUUACUUCCCAAUGCGGGACACUAUACAUUACUAACUAUUUAACACUCCCCCUCAAGAAAGUGCAUAUAAAUCAUAUGUACCGAGCUUGUUAUAGAUUUAACUAAUACGAAAAUGAGUAAGAGACUUAGUGAAAAUAUCUGCAAGUUGAUCAUUUGACUUUACAAACUUUGUAACAAUAUCUCCUAAGAGUAUCUUUUCUUUGACAAAGUGACAGUCGAUCUCAAUGCGUUUAGUCCUCUCAUGGGACAUCGUAUUUGACGUAAUAUAUAGAGCAACUUGAUUAUCAUACACGAGUUCCAUCUUGCUGAUUUCUCCGAACUUUGACUUCUUGAGCAACUACUUGACCCGAAUACCGUAGUCAUGUCCUCAUACUCUGCUUCUAUGCUAGAUCGAGUAACUAUAUUUUGUUUCUUGCUAUUCCAAGAGACUAAACUACCUCCUACUAAAACACAAUAUCUAGACAUAGAAUGUCUAUCAGAAGGUGAUCCGGCCCAAUCAGCAUCUAUGUACCCAACAAUCUAUUUGUGGCCUUGAUCCUCAAAUAGUAAUCCUUUCCUUGGAGCUGGCUAAUGACUUACGCAAUCUGCAGACAAGACCACUAAACUCCACCUUGAGCAACAAAAUCUGGUGGUUUCUCUAUAUAAACUUCUUCCUCAAGAUCACCGUAGAGAAAAGCAUUCUUAAUGUCUAACUUAUAAUGAGGCCAAUGACGAGUAGCAGCCAUGGACAAAAAGAGCCGAACAGAUGCUACAUUAGCCACGGGAGAGAGAAAGUGUCUCUAUAAUCAAGCCCACAUAUCUGAGUGUAUUCUGUUGCAAUAAGACGAGACUUAAGCCGAUUAACCUAGCCAUCCAUGCUGGAUGUGAUUGUAUAAACCCAAUGACAACCAACAGUAGGCUUACUAGAAGGAAGAGGAAUAAGCUCCCAAGUAUCACUCACAUAUAAAGCAGACAUCUUGUCAAACACAGCCUACCACCAUCCUGGAUGAGAUAGUGCUUCACCUGUAGACUUAGGGAUGGAAACACUGGAUAAAGAUGAUACAAAAGCAUAAUGAGGUGAUAAUAGGUAAUGAUAACUAAAAUUAACAUAAUGGGAAUUAGGAUUAAGUACAGAUCGUACACCUUUUUGGAGUGCAAUUGGUGGACUAGGAGGAGACGAGUCCGCAAUAUAUGCAGAAUAUGACACAAGACAUAAAUCAUAGGGGCCUGAUGAUGGAUGUGGACGAUGAUGAUAAGUCAAGAGUGGUGGCCUUAUGGCUGGGGGAUAUAGGAGGAGCAAAUGUAGACUCCUUAAAAAUCUAUAUAGGAAAUAGUAGUUGUGGUGGUGCUGUGGAAGUGGAUUCUUCACAAUUAGGUACAAGUAUGACCUCAGAUUUAUUAAGAAGAUCAAAAGAAGUAAAAUAAGGUUGAGACUUAAAAAAUGUGACAUCGGAUGACAUAAGUUACCUACGAAGAUCAGGUGAGUAGCAGCGAUACCCCUUUUGAACGUAGAUUAACCAAAGAAGACACACUUAAUAGCACGGGGAGCUAACCUAUCUUUUCUAGGAUCUAUGUUGUGAACAAAACAUAUACUCCCAAAAACACGAGGAGAAAGAGAGUGUAAGGGUGACUUAGGGAAAAACACUAAAUGUGGAAUUUGUAUUUGGAUAGCAGAUGAAGGCAUUUAAUUAAUCAAGUAACAAGCUGUAAAAACUGCAUCGCCUAAAAAAGGUAGUAGAACAUAGGAUUGAAUGAGAAGUGUGCGAGUAGUUUCAAAGAGAUGCCUAUUGUUUUUCUCUGCUACCCCAUUCUGCUGAGGGGUAUAUUUAUGGAUAAGUCCGUGAGAGGUCAUAAACUAUUGAAACUGAGAGGAUAAGUAUUCUAAAGCAUUAUCACUAUGAAAAGUGCGAAUAGAAAUAGAAAAUUGAUUUUUAAUUUUAACACAAAAGUUCUGGAAGAUAGAUAACAACUCAUAAUGACUAUUCAUUAGGAAAAUCCAAGUACAUAUUGAGUAAUCAUCAAUGAAACUAACAAAAUAACGAAAUCUUAAGGUUGAACUAACUUUACUAGGACCCCAUAUAUCAGAAUGAACUAAAGAGAAAAUAAACUCUAAGAGAUUCUCAGUACUACGUGAAAAGGUGGCUCGGGUAUGUUUACCAAGUUGACACGACUCACAAUCUAAUGUAGACAAACUAGAUAAUUAGGCACCAUAUUCUAAAGCUUGGAUAAACUCAGAUGUCCUGAGCGUUCGUAAAUUAGGUUUGGAGGAUAUGUUACUGGAUAAGUUAUGAAGGGAUACAGUGAGUUAAGGUAGUAAAUGCCCUGUGAUUCAGGCUUGUGCCAAUCGCCUGCCCCGUACUGCGAUCCUGCAUAAUAAAAGAAUCAUCAAAAAAUAUAUACCACAAUGAAGGGAACGAGUCAAACGACUAAUAGAUGCAAGACUAAAAGGACAGCCAAAGAUAUAAAGCAUGGAAUCUAGAGUGACAGAAGAUGAGGGAUUAGCUUGUCCAAUUCCUUUUGCUUUAGUUUGAAACCCAUUGGCUAAAGUAAUAGUAGGAAGACGGUGAAUACACAAAAUUUGACAAAAGUGAUUUAUUACCAAAGAUAUGAUCAGAAGAUCUUGAGUGCAUAACCCACGAUCCAAGAGUACUAGACUGAGAAACACUAUCACAAGAAUUACUAGCAAAAAGAGUAUCACUCUGGGCAACUGAGGCUACUUGUGGAGAUGUCUGCUUACUUCCUCGAUAUCGAAGGAACUCAUUAUAUUCCCCUAUAGAUAAAGAAAAUCCCUGAUUAUAUUGUAGUCUUAGUUUGAGCAAUAUGAGCGUUUCUAGGUAGUGGACCAUGUAAAGGAUAGCACACUUCACGAGUGUAUCCAUGUUUAUUACAAUAAGAACACUUGGGUCGAGAUCUACCAAAAUGAUCUCCUCCUUGUCGAUUCUCUAUAGCCUGAGAUGUCCGAUUUUCCAUUGUCUGAGAUGCCAGAAUAGAGGAAUCAACAGUUGGUGGUGAGACCACUAUGUGACUAGGUGGCACAACAAGACAAAUCAAUCAAGAUAAUAGUUCAUCAACUAUAGGGAUCGAAGUACUAGCCAAAAUAUUGUCUCGCACUAAGUUAAGCUCGUUAGGCAGUCCAGCAAGUGUAAGAACUAGAAACACCUUUUGUCGUUGCUCUUAUUGUUUUCAACACUAUCAGUGACUGGCAUCAACUUCUCAAAUUCCUCCAUAACUGCAUGCACCUGUCCCAAGUAGGUAGACAUAUCCAAUUCCUAUUUCUUUAAGUUUGUCAUCCGAGAUAUCACAUCUGUCAUGACCCAAGUUCGCCCUCCGUGAACUGUCGUGAUGGAACCUAGUCUCUACGACAAGGUAAUCCUAACAAUUUCGAAAAAAGAAACAAAAUGCAUAAAAAAGAAUAAAAACUGAAGAUAAGCAAAUAUAGAAGCGUUUAAGAUGUUGCUCGACAUAUACNNNNNNNNNNNNNNNNNNNAAGUGUCUAACUCCAAAAUGUCUAAACAAAAGUAAAUACAGAAGAGACAAUACUGUAAGAGAGAAUGGAAAGGGACUUUUUGGUCUGCGGACGCGGCAGAUAUACCUUGAAGUCUCUAGAGAAUCGCCUCGCCUCAAGGGCAGUAGGGCUGAGUCGAAGUACCUUGAUCUACACAUAAAAAAACAUGUGCAGAAAGGGCAUGAGUACACCACAGCUGUACUCAGUAAGUGCCAAGCCUAACCUUGGUCGAGGAGUGACGAGGAAGGUCAGGGCCCUACUAAUUAUAGUUGAAAAAUGAGGUAAAAUAGUAUAUAAUACGACAAUAUAAUUAAUGCUAACAAUAUGAAGUAACACAGGAUAAUAAGAAUAACAACAACUAUAACAGAGACAAAAUAAUCACAUAAGGAAUACAGCUUAACACAGAGAUAACAACCGAGGAUCUCCCAGGAUACUGUCCUGUAGUCCCCAAAUGUAAAUAUCUAGUGGAUCUCCCCGAUGUCGUCCCGUAAUCCAGCUCAUAGUGCGCGGGGAUCUACCGAAAUCCCAAUCCGUAGUCCCAAAUGUAAAUACCCAGUACUGGGGGAAUCUACUAGGUGUAAUCCCGUAGUUCCAAUAUAAUGUGCAGGGAAAUCUACCAGAAUACAAAUCCGUAGUCCCAAAGUAAACAUGCAGGGAGAUCUCCCGGGAUACUAUCUCGUAGUCCCAAAGUAAACACACAGCAGCAACACGGAGAAUAUUCAAUUCAAUCCGAAUUUCAUACAAGGGCAAACAGGUAUUUCUAACCUAGCAUCCUGCACAAAAUUCAAAUAAAGUAAUUUGAGCAAGUAAAGCAAUUAAUUCAAUUAGACAUGCCUCCCUAAGCUAAUAGUGCGCUUAAAUUGCAAGUAGUAUAAAUAGGAAAGGAAACACAGGUAUAGUUACUUAAUGAAAAUAGGAUUUUCAACAACUAGCACAAGUAUGCACUCGUCACCUCAUGUACAAUGUAAAUAUAACUUUAAGUAACUAAUUCCACUAAUUAAUUUGAAGCUAACACGCAAAAUUAAGAAAAUUACCCAAAAAGUCCCGCGGUCCCACAUCUCGGAAUUGGGUAAAAGUUUCGGAUUAUGAAUCCUCAUUCACUCAUGAGUUUAAUCAUACCAUUAUUAUCCAAAUCUGAUGUCAAAUCCCCAAUCAAAACUCGAAAAUUAGGUCUAAGAACUUUUCCAAUUUUUUCCCUUAAUUUCUCACCCCAAAUCCGAAAUUAGAUGAUCAAUUCAUAUUUAGAUUAAUGGGUUAUAAGCAAAAAGGAGUUAAGAAUCAUUACCCGCAAACUCCCUCCGAAAAUCUCUCCAAAAUUCGUCUCCUACCGAGAUCCCAAUUCAAUUUUGUGAUAUGAACUCAAAUCCCUCGAUUUUGAACUUUAUGUUCUGCCCAGACGCGUCCUUAAUCGCAAUCGCGGAAACUCCCACGCGAUGGCGAAGAGCAACUUCACUAACCCCCAAAUUAAUCAUACGCAAACACAAUAAACACUACAUGGUCGCGAUGUUGCACUGCUCAUCUCAAUGCGAUCGCGGUUGACCUCACGCGAUCGCGAAGAGCAAUCUUCCACUCCUCAACUGCCUCACUUCUUCCUCUUUGCGAACGCGGCGUAGCCUACGCGUUCGCAAUUCAACUUCUGUCAAUACUACGUGUUCGCACUCCCUUUCCCGCGAUCGCGUAGAACAAAAAUCCCAUCUGCCUCAUCUAAUCCUUCGCGAUCGCGAGCCUCCUCACGCGAUCGCGAUGUAGAAAAGUUUGCAACAAAUACCAGCAAAAUCUGAUCCUUGUCCAAGUCCAAAAAUGGGUCGUUGAGCAUCCAAAACACACCCGAGGCCCCCGUCACUUCAACCAAACAUGCCAACCAAUCCUAAAACAACAUUCAAACUUGUUCCAACCUUCGGAAUGUUCAAAACAACAUCUAAAUACCAAUUUAACAUCGGAUUCAAGCCUAAGAACUCCAAAAACUCUCAAAUUACGCUUUGGAUCAAAAAGUCUAUCAAACCUCGUUCGAAUGACUUGAAAUUUUGCAAACACAUCACAUUCAACACUAGGGAGCUACUCCAUUUUUCGGAAUUCCAUUCCGACCCCGAUAUCAAAAUGUCACCAUCAAACCGGAAACUUAAAAAAUUCAUCUUUCAGCAUAUCAAGCCUAAAUAAGCUACGGACCUCUAAAACAAAAUCCAAACACCCCUAAGUUUGAAAUCACCCAACGGAGCUAACGAAACUGACGGAAUUCCAUUCCGAGGUCGUCUUCAUACUGCUUCGACUACGGUCCAAAUUUCUAAAGCUUAAGCUCUCCUUUAGGGACUAAGUGUCCCAAAACACUCCGAAACGCAAAACAAAUCAUCCCAACAAAUCACAAUAGAAGAAACAAACACUGGGAAAAUAGUUAAUAGGGGAUCGGGGCAUUAAUUCUUAAAAUGAUCGGCCGGGUCGUUAUAUCCUCCUAUACUUAAACAUUCUUUCAUCCUCGAGCGAGCAUAGAGACAUACCUGAAGUAGUGAAAAGAUGAGGGCAACAGCUGCACAUAUCCUGCUCGGUCUCCCAGGUCACCUUCUCGACCGGCUGACCCCGCCACUGAACCUUCACUAAUGCAAUGUUCUUUGACCUCAACUUUCAAACCUGCAUAUCCAAUAUCGCCACUGGCUCCUGAAAAUAAGAUAGAUCCUUGUCCCAAUGGACUGAACUAAAAUCAAACACGUGCGACAAAUCACUGUGAUACCUCCGGAGCAUCGAAACAUGAAAUACCGGAUGAAUUCCUGCCAGGCUGGGAGGUAAGGCAAGCUCAUUAGCAACCUUCCCAACACGUCUUAAUAUCUCAAAAGGACCAAUAAACCUCGGACUCAAUUUCCCUUUCUUCCCAAAUCUCAUAACACCCUUCAUAGGCAAAACCCGAAGCAGAACCCGCUCUCCAACCAUAUAGGAAACAUCACGAACCUUCUGGUUUGCGUAACUCUUCUGUAUGGACUGGGUUGUACGGAGUCUAUCCUGGAUUACCUUAACCUUCUCCAAAGCGUCCUGAACCAAGUCUGUGCCCAAUAAUAUAGCCUUACCCGGCUCAAAUCAACCCAUCGGGGAUCUACACUGCCUACCAUACAAGGCCUCAUACGGUUCAAUCUUAAUGCUGGAUUGAUAGCUGUUAUUGUAGGCAAACUCCGCCAGUGGCAAGAACUGAUCCCAAGAACCUCCGAACUCCAUCACACACGCACGGAGCAUAUCCUCAAGAAUCUGAAUAGUGCACUCGGACUAUCCGUUCAUCUGGGGGUAAAAUGUUGUGCUCAAUUCCACCCGAGUACCUAACUCAUGUUGUACUACCCUCUAGAACCGUGAUGUGAACUGAGUACCUCUAUCUAAAAUGAUGGAAACUGGAAUACCAUGUAGAUGAACAAUCUCCUGGAUAUAAAUCUCCGCCAAUUACUCCGGAGAAUAGGUAUUACACACAGAAAUGAAGUGCGUGGACGUGGUCAGCCGAUCCAUAAUCACCUAAAUGGCAUUGAACUUUCUCAAAGUCCGUGAGAGCCUAACACGAAGUCCAUGGUGAUCCACUCCCACUUCCACUCCGGAAUCUCUAUCUGCUGAAGCAACCCACCCGGUCCUGGUGCUCGUACUUCACCUGCUAACAAUUGAGGCACCGAGCUACAAACCUAGCUAUAUCUUUCUUCAUCUGCCUCAACUAAUAGUGCUACCUCAAAUCCUGGUACAUCUUCGCGGCACCCGGAUGAAUGGAAUACCGCGAACUAUGGGCCUCCUCUAGAAUCAACUCCCGAAGCCCAUCAACAUUGGGUACACAAAUCUGACCUUGCAUCCUCAAUACCCUGUCAUCACCAAUAGUCACAUCUCCGGCAUCGUCAUGCAUGACCUUGUCCUUGAGGAAAAGCAAAUGAGGGUCAUCAAGCUGACGCUUUUUGAUACGAUCAAAUAAGGAAGACCGAGAAAUCACGCAAGCUAAAACCCGACUGGGCUCCGAAAGAUCAAUCUCACAAACUGGCUGGCUAAGGCUUGAACACCCAUCGCCAUGGGUCUCUCUGCUGCUGGUAAAUAAGCCAAACUCCCCAAACUCUUCGCCCGGAGACUCAAAGCAUCGGCCACCACAUUGGCCUUGACCGGGUGAUACAAAAUAGUGAUAUCGUACUCUUUCAACAACUCUAACCACCUCCUCUAAUCCAAAUUAAGGUCCUUCUACUUGAACAGAUGCUGGAAACUCCGGUGAUUAGUAUAAAUCUCACAAGGCAGCUCGUACAAAUAAUGACGCCAGAUCUUCAAGGCGUGAACAAUAGCAGCUAACUUGAGAUCAUGGACAGGAUAAUUCUUCUCAUGUACCUUAAAAUUGUCUGAACACGUAGGCAAUCACCCUACCGUCCUACAUCAAUACCGCUCCAAGGCCAAUCCUCCAAGCAUCACAAUAGACGGUAUAAGACCCCGAACCUGUAGGUAAUAUCAAAAUUGGGGUUGUAGUCAAAGCUAUCUUAAGCUUCUGAAAUCUCGCCUCACACUCUUUCUUCCACUAGAACGGAGCACCCUUCUAGGUUAGUCUGGUCAUAGGUGCUGCAAUAGAUGAAAACCCCUUAACAAAUCGACGGUAAUGACCCGCCAAGCCAAGAAAAUUGCGGACCUCUAUAGCUGAGAAUGGUCUGGGCCAACUCUUCAUUGCUUCCACUUUCUUCGGGUCCACCUUUAUCCCCUCACUGGACACCACGUGACACAAGAAUGCCAUAGAAUCCAACCAAAACUCACAUUUCGAGAACUUUGCAUAUAACUUCUUUUCCCUCAAAGUCUGAAGCAUUGUCCUUAGGUGUUGCUCAUGAUCUUCCCAACUCCAGGAGUAUACCAGAAUAUCAUCAAUGAAGACAAUGACGAACGAGUCAAGAUAUGGCCGGAACACACUAUGCAUCAAAUGCAUGAAGGUUGCUAGGGCAUUAGUCAGCCCAAAUGACAUAACAAGGAACUCGUAAUGACCAUACCGAGUCCUGAAAGCAGUCUUCGGGAUAUCUGGCUCCCGAAUCUUCAACUAAUGGUAACCUAAACGUAAGUCAAUAUUNNNNNNNNNNNNNNNNNNNNNNNNNNNNNNNNNNNNNNNNNNNNNNNNNNNNNNNNNNNNNNNNNNNNNNNNNNNNNNNNNNNNNNNNNNNNNNNNNNNNNNNNNNNNNNNNNNNNNNNNNNNNNNNNNNNNNNNNNNNNNNNNNNNNNNNNNNNNNNNNNNNNNNNNNNNNNNNNNNNNNNNNNNNNNNNNNNNNNNNNNNNNNNNNNNNNNNNNNNNNNNNNNNNNNNNNNNNNNNNNNNNNNNNNNNNNNNNNNNNNNNNNNNNNNNNNNNNNNNNNNNNNNNNNNNNNNNNNNNNNNNNNNNNNNNNNNNNNNNNNNNNNNNNNNNNNNNNNNNNNNNNNNNNNNNNNNNNNNNNNNNNNNNNNNNNNNNNNNNNNNNNNNNNNNNNNNNNNNNNNNNNNNNNNNNNNNNNNNNNNNNNNNNNNNNNNNNNNNNNNNNNNNNNNNNNNNNNNNNNNNNNNNNNNNNNNNNNNNNNNNNNNNNNNNNNNNNNNNNNNNNNNNNNNNNNNNNNNNNNNNNNNNNNNNNNNNNNNNNNNNNNNNNNNNNNNNNNNNNNNNNNNNNNNNNNNNNNNNNNNNNNNNNNNNNNNNNNNNNNNNNNNNNNNNNNNNNNNNNNNNGGCCUGGCCUCCCCCUCUAGGGUAACCUCUACCUCCUCGACCUCUACCUCUAGUUGGCUGAGUAGGUGGGGUAGAAACUGGAGCUGUAACCAUAGCCUGAGAACUCUGCGGGGCACGUUGUGUCUUAGAAGUCUGUAGAGAUGCACCCCUCCUAAGUUUGGGGCAAUCCCUCACCAUAUGGCAGGUGUCACCACAUUCAAAACAAGCUCUGGGAGGAUAUUGUGGCUGUGACUAGGUCGGGCCAGAUCUGCUGGACUGACCACUGAAAGCACCCCGUGCAGGAGGCGCACUAGAUACUGGAGGUACAUAAUAAGGCUUUUGAGGCCUAGGAAGAGCUGGAAUACCUCUGGCUACUGAAAGAGCUGAAUGAACAACGCGACUCGUAUAACCCCUACCAUGAUGAACUGUAGCUGGAGCACCAGAAUAAUGGCCCGACUCUCGAGACCUCUUGGCAUCCCUCUCCUCUCUAUCCCUAGUAUGCAUACCCUCCACUCUCCUAGCAAUUCUCACCACUUGCUGAUAAGAAAUAUGCAUCUCCAACUCACGAGCCAUGCUAGACCUGAUGCUAGGAAUGAGCCCCUCAAUAAACUGGCAAACCCUCUCAUGAAUAGUAGAAACCAAAGCUGGUGCAUGUCCAGCCAAGCUAGUGAAAUGGACAGCAUACUCUGAGACAGUCGUAGAACCCUGGCGCAAACACUAAAACUCUAUGCGCCAUGCGUCCAUGAGGCUCUAAGGAACAUACUCUCUCAGGAACAUAUCUGAAAAUUGAGUCCAAGUUAGGGAAGCUACCUCACCCGGAUUGUCUAACUCAUAGGUACGCUACCACUCAUAAGCGGCUCCUCGAAGCUGGAAGGUAGUGAAGGAAACCCCGUUCGAUCCGGAUAUACCCAUGGUAUAGAGGAUACGGUAGCACUCAUCUAGAAAUUCUAGAGCAUCAUCUGAUGCUAGACCACUGAAUAACAGAGGCUUGUACUUCUUAAACCUCUCAAGCCUCAACUGCUCAUCCUUGGAAGUCGUUGCCCUGUCCUCGGGCUGAUCUGCGACUGCAGGCUGUAUAGGAAUAAUCUCUGAUACCUGAUCAACAUGCACUCACUGCUCAGGAGUGCAGGCAGCGAGAGUCUGGGCUCCUUCCCCGGCCUGAGAUGUAGCUGCUGCAAGGGGAAGCAACCCUGCCUGAGCCAGAAUGGUGUACAUGCUCAUGAACUGUGCAAAAGUCUCCUGGAGUGCUGGAGUAGUAGUAGCAGUAGGCGUAUCAGGUGCAUGGACUCCAGAUGGAACUGUAGGUGGCACCUCGGUGGCAGCUCGCGCGGGUGCUCUGGCUGCACCACGCACGUGUCCUUGGCCUCUACAUCAGCCCCGACCUCUGACGGCUCUAGUAGGGGGCGCGGGUGCCUGAUCAUCUCUAAUAGCACGUGUCCUCACCAUCUGUGAGAGAAUAGAAGACAGAAGUUUAUAAUUGUGAUAUCAAAAUCUCGCACGACAAGGAAAUCAAAUGAAGUGGAAUUUUCCUAACAGUUACAUAGCCUCUCAUAGAUAAGUACAGACGUCUCCGUACCGAUCCGCGAGACUCUAAUAAAUUGACUUGUGAUUCAUGACUACUAUGAAGCUAGAGCUCUGAUACCAACUUGUCACGACCCAAGUUUGCCCUCCGUGAACUGUCCUGACGGCACCUAGUCUCUACGACUAGGCAAGCCUAACAAUUUUGGAAAAAGAAACAAAAUGCGGAAAAACUAAUAAAAAUUGAUUAUAAGGAAAUAUAGAAUCGUUUAAGAUGUCGCUCGGCAUAUACUAAUACAAGAUCUCAAAAAUUGAACAACUCCCCAAAACCCAAAAUCUCAUGAAAUCACAAGCUGUUGGAUAACUUCAAGUGUCUAACUCUAGAAUGUCUAAACAAAAGUAAAUACAUAAGGGCUAAUACUGUAAGAGAGAAUGGAAAUGGACUCCUCGGUCUACGGACGCGGCAGAUAUACCUCGAAGUCUCUGGAGAAUCGCCUCACCUCAAGGGUAGUAGGGCUGAGUCGAAGUACCUAGAUCUGCACAUGAAAAACAUGCGCAGAAAGGGCAUGGAUACACCACAGCGGUACUUAGUAAGUGACAAGCCUAACCUCGGUCGAGUAGUGACGAGGAAGGUCAGGGCCCUACUAAUUAUAGCUGAAAAACGAGGUAAAACAGUAUAGAAUACGGUAAUAUAAUUAAAUGCUAAUAGUAUGAAGUAACACAAGAUAAUAAGAAUAACAACAACUAUAGUAGAGAUAAAAUAAUCACAGAAGAAAUACAGCUCAACACAUAGAUAACAACCGGGGAUCUCCCAGGAUACCUUCCAGUAGUCCCCAAAUGUAAAUAUCCAGUGGAUCUCCCAGGUUUCCUCCCAUAGUCUAGCUCAUAGUGCGCACGGAUCCACUGAAAUCCCGAUCCGUUGUCCCAAAUGUAAAUACACAGUACUGGGGGAAUCUACCGGGUGCAGUCCCGUAGUUCAAAUAUAAUGUGCAGGGGGAUCUACCGGAAUACAAAUCCAUAGUCCCUAAGUAAACAUGCAGGGGGGGAUCUCACGGGAUACCUUCUCAUAGUCCCAAAGUAAACAUGCGGGGGGAUAUCUCGGGAUACCUUCUCGUAGUCCCAAAGUAAACAGACAGCAGCAGCACGGAGAAUAUUCAGUUCAAUCCAAAUAUCAUACCAAGGUAAACAGGUAUUUCUAACCUAGCAUGUUGCACAUAAUUCAAAUAAAGAAAUUUGAGUAAGUAAAGUAAUUAAGUCAAUUAGACAUGCUUCCCUAAGCUAAUAGUAGGCUUAAAUUACAAGUAGUAUAAACAGGAAAGGAAACACAGUUAUAGUUACUUAAUGAAAACAAUAUUUUCAACAAUUAGCACAAGUACACACUCGUCACCUCACAUACAAGGCAUCUCAAAUAUCAACAAUAUCAAAUCCUAAGGGGAGUUCCCCCACACAAGGUGAGGCAAGCCACUUACCUCGAACCGGCUUAAAAAUAUACCCAAAUCCACGCUCUUGCCACGAGUACUCGACUCCAAAUGGCUCAAAUCUAUUCAUAUCAAUUGCAUAAUGUAAAUAUAACUUUUAGUAACUAAUUCCACUAAUUAAUUCGAAGCUAUCACUCAAAAUUAAGAAAAUCGCCCAAAAAGUCCCCCGGGCCCACAUCUCGAAAUCGGGUAAAAAUUACGGAUUAUGAAUCCUCAUUCACUCACGAGUCUAACCAUACCAAAAUUAUCCAAAUCUGAUGUCAAAUCCCCAAUCAAAACUCGAAAAUAGGUCUAAGAAAUUUUUCAAUUUUUUUCCCCAAUUUCUCACCCCAAAUCCGAAAUUAGAUGAUGAAUUCAUGUUUAGAUUAAUGGGUUAUAAGCAAAAAAGAGAUAAGAAUUAUUACCCGCAAACUCCCUCCAAAAUUCUCUCCAAAACUCGUCUUACAGAGCUCCCAAUUCAAUUUUGUGAUAUGAACUCAAAUCCCUCGAUUUUGAACUUUAUGUUCUGUCCAGACGCGUCCUUAAUCGCGAUCGCGGAAACUCCCACGUGAUCGCGAAGAGCAACUUUACUGACACCCAAAUUAACCCUACACAAAUGCGAUAAACACUACGCGAUCGCGAUGUUGCACUGCUCUGCUCUACGCGAUCGCGGUUGACGUUACGCAAUCGCGAAGAGCAAUCUUCCACUCCUCAGCUGCCUCACUUCUUCCUCUUCCCGAACGUGGUGCAGCCCACGCGUUAGCGAUUCAACUUCUGCCUUACUAUGCAUUCGCACUACCUUUCCCGUGAUCACGUAGAAUAAAAAUCCCCUCUGCCUCAUCUAAGCCUUCACGAUCGCAAGCUUCCUCAUGCGAUCGCAAUGAAGAAAAGUCUGCAACAAAUACCACCAAAAAUCUAAUCCUUCUCCAAGUCCAAAAAUAGUCCGUUGAGCUUCAGAAACACACCCGAGGCCUCCGGGACAUCAACCAAACCUGCCAACAAAUCUUAAAACAUCAUUCAAACUUUUUCCAACCUUCGAAACACUCAAAACAACAUCAAAACACCAAUUUAACAUCGGAUUCAAGCCUAAGAACUCUCAAAACUCUCAAAUUACGCUUUCGAUCAAAAAGUCUAUCAAACCUCUUCCGAAUUACUUGAAAUUUUGCAAGCGUAUCGCAUUCAACACUAUGGAGAUACUCCAACUUUCGGAAUUCCAUUUUGACCCCGAUAUCAACAUCUCACCAUCAAACCGGAAUCUUCAAAAAUUCAACUUUCGGCAUUUCAAGCCUAAAAAAGCUACGGACCUCCAAAACAAAAUCCGAACACGCCCCUAAGUCUGAAAUCACCCAACGGAGCUAACGAAACUGACAAAAUUCUAUUUUGAGGUCAUCUUCACACUACUCUGACUAUGGUCCAAAUUUCUUAAGCUUAAUCUCUCCUCUAGGGACUAAGUGUCGCAAAACACUCCGAAACUCAAAACAAAUCAUCUCGGAAAAUCACAACUUUAGAAACAAACAUGGGAAAAAUAGUUAAUAGGGGAUCAGGGCAUUAAUUCUUAAAAUGACUGACCGAGUCGUUACAACAUCAUAAAAAUAAGAUAUAUCAUUAGUAUAUAAAGUACGAGCCUUCUCCCAAACUAAAUAACAUAUCUAGAAUGGACAAAACAAAGGAUUAUAUUGGAACCAAUCGAUCACCAUUUGGCUUCUUAUCUAGCAAAGAUAGGUUUCAGAUCAGGCCAUACACUUUGGUAUAGUACAUAUUCUGAUAAAUAACUCCAAAUACACCUUCAAAGGGUUAACUAUUAAUCGGAAUUGGUGGAACUCCAUUUCAACUCACAUUUUCUAAGCUUACAUAUAUUUCUAGUAUCCUUAUCGCUGUCAUACCUUCUUUUUACCACCCGAGGUGGGAAUAUGAGGGAGUUUUUUCAAUUAAAGUGAUAUAAUUCGUAAUGGGAUUAUUUUAUUUAAAUUCAGAGUCACCACUUGGGAUAAUUUAUGGUGUCCCAAGUCACCGGUUUAUUUAAAUCCCAAAUCGAGGAAAUUUUCGACUUUAUUUAAAAGUCUGCGAACCAGAAAUUCUAAGUAAGGAAUUCUGUAAACCGGGAGAAGGAGUUAGGCAUUCCCAAGUUCUGUGAUUCUACCACAAUCGCUUUAACUAUUAUUAAAUGGCCUAAUUAUUAGAUUUAUUACAUGUUUUAAACCUAUUGGGCAUUUUUAACUUUAUAACUUCUUUUAAUUAUUUUAAACUGCUUUUAGGAUUUAUGGAAUUAUUUUUUGAACAAGUUACGAUUGUCGUACACUUGCCAUUUUGGAACACACCGUAAAUUACGCUACAUGAAAUGCUCCCGCGAUUCGCAAUAUGUUUAUUUUUAUUAAUGUUCGAAGUUAUUACGAUCGGGUCACUUGAAAUGCACACCCAAAUUUGGGAAUUAUGUAUCAUAACUACAUCACGGGAGCCAUACCCGUAGCUAUGAUAAUUUUAUUAUAAACGCGCCUAAAGCAAACUACGAAUUGUUCAAAGUGUUUUCUACACUAGUCAUGAAUGUUCCAAGUAUUUUUUUCACACUAGUUUGGGUAUUGAUGUGAGGACUAUAGAUUAUAGGAUUCAUUUGAGAAUGACACGCCUCAAUUUGUUUCAAAAGAUUGCACUCAACUUAAAGCAAACUACGGAUGUUCAUAAUUUUUUCUUUCUAAGCUACUUCAAGAUUAUUGUAAGGAUAAGUAGUUAUGAAUAAAAAAAUAUUGUGAAUCAUCUGCAAUGUCAUACUAUAACAGAACUCAAAUGACAAUAAAUUUAAUGUUCGACAGCCACUGAAAGCAGCUUUAAGGCACUUUGAUAGUAAGAACACAAUUUGGAACUUGUACAAAUAUUUGCUCGAUGUGGAAAAGGGGAAGAAAGACCAGUACACUGGCUUAAAUCUGCAAAUUUUCUACAACAUUUUAGAUGAAACCUCUUUAUUUCUCAUUCCUUUUUCAUAACUUCCUUUUUCUGGUAGUUCUGAAAUUAGAAGCAAAACCAUAUCUUAACAAUUUUAUGCAGUGUAUAGCCAGAAUAUAAAACGUGACAUUGUCUCUUCCAAAUCAGUAAUUUUAGCUAGUUCAUAAAAAAAACCAAACAAACCAGAACAACACCAUUUUAGCUCAAAAUUCCAGCAACCAAUCCUACUACAACAAGAGCUUAAUAGUGCUCAAAAUAAAUUUAUACUUGCACCCAGAUUUGUGCAUUGGUUCAACACAUAAAAGUAAUUCAAAGCAAAGUCAAAUCUACAAUCAAUCAUUGGAGAACAUUCUCAAACACAUGAAUAAACUACUAUAACUUUAUAACAAUAUAACAUGCUAAAUCAGUGCGUACAUGACUUAAAAGACGAGUUCAUACCUUGGCAGUAGCGAAAGGAGCAUAAAUAAUUAGCGACGAAUCAACAAAAUCAGCGACAAAAAUUAAGCAAAUCCACAGCUCCAAAAGGGCUGUUAGAUACCCAGAACGAAAAGAAAUCGAGCUUUGAAAUCAAUUCUUCUUCAAAUCUCCAUUGAAAAUUCAAGUUUUCUUUCCAUUUUAGCUUCUAAUUUUCUGAUUUGGGAUGCCAUUUUCGAAUCUAAAAAAAUUAUUUAUUUUAUUUUUUAAGAAGAAGAAGAAGUCGUUUAUGUGUGUGUGUGUGUGUGUGUCCCUUUUCAAUUUUUGAGAGAGGAUUUCUCAAAAAUCUUAAGGGGAAGGUGUUGGUUUCAGAAUGGGAGGGGAUCUGAUGUAUUUUUGUCUAGUCGAAUGAGAAGAAAGGAGACAGAGAGAGAAUAUGUGUGUGGCAUUGUCAUGGAGUCAAGAUGGAGCGUUCAUUUCCUUAGUUCCUCUCUUGCGCCGCUACUGAAGGGAAAAUUAGGAAGGUCUUCUAAUGUUAGGUCUAGAGAUGGAAAAAAUCUGAUCCCCUUUUUUAGGUCUUUUAAUGUGUGUUUUAAUGGAGAGGGAAGGGUUUACUG
Molecule: long non-coding RNA, 19691 nt
Filed under: Nicotiana tabacum (common tobacco)
Lineage: Eukaryota; Viridiplantae; Streptophyta; Magnoliopsida; Solanales; Solanaceae
Description: long non-coding RNA (NTAB_LNC013037)
Source: RNAcentral